UGUCCUCUUUCUCCAACCACGAAUGAAGCUCCCCUCUCUCUCCUCUUCUUUCCCCUCUCUUCUCUCUUUUGUCUCCUACCCACCACCACCGCCGCCACUAACCACCGUCGCCACCAAGUCCGAGUUCGUCGAAUUCGGAGUCGGAGGAGAAAAUUGAUGGCCAAUACGGCUUCUGCAAUUCAGCUACCGAGCUCAUGUUGUUCGGCUUCUCGUCGAAUCCCUUUGUUUAGUUUUUUUUUGGCAAGUGUAAAAUUCCUGAUUAUGAAUUUCAGUUAUAUUUGGUGUUGUAUGAGUUUUCUGCUAAUUUUUAAGUGAAAAAAGAUAAAAAAAAAAAAAGGGAAUUAUAUUUUUUGGGGUAUUUUAGGCACCGGUUAACCGGUGCCAAUAAUAAGUUUUCCUACCAGUUCAAACCGGUGGCUUUUAAUCCGAUUAUUAGCACACCCCAAAUUGGCACCGGUUCAAAACUGGUUGCAUUGAGGGUUUUGAACCGGUGCCAAUUUUGUUUUUUCUACUAGUGUUAGGCGAUUCACGAAAGUAGCUCAAAUGGCAUGUAUAUCUCAUUUUGUUUUUUUGUUUGUGUCAAUAUUAGAGCCCCCAUGUGUCGGGUUAUGCACAUUCUUGCUAUUUCACAAGUCUUGGAUCCCCCAAUUUAGGGUAGUUCUAAUGACUUGCUAUUGUUUAGGCCAUUCAUAUGAUACUGAGAUGGACCUAUGUAUUUGUCCUAUUCAGUUAAAGUCAUGUUCAAGAAAGCAAGUUAGUUCUUUGCUUGUUUAUAAACCAAAACAAUUGUGUUGAAGGUUUAGUAAUCUUACCUAAUGUCCAAACGGUUGUAAAGAUCAUUGCGGUGAUUUUAUUCUCAAAGUUGAUUUAAAACAUCAAA
Chenopodium quinoa (quinoa) is the source of this 880-nucleotide long non-coding RNA. RefSeq lists it as uncharacterized. The record is from RefSeq and is a predicted model, not a curated record. The transcript is spliced from 2 exons. Lineage: Eukaryota; Viridiplantae; Streptophyta; Magnoliopsida; Caryophyllales; Amaranthaceae.